CAUUACCGAGUUUACAACUCCCAAACCCAUGUGAACAUACCUAUCGUUGCUUCGGCGGGACCGCCCCGGCGCCUUGUGCCCGGAACCAGGCGCCCGCCGGAGACCACAAACUCUUGUAUUUAUACGAAUUAUCUGAGGAUUUAUACAAAUGAAUCAAAACUUUCAACAACGGAUCUCUUGGUUCUGGCAUCGAUGAAGAACGCAGCGAAAUGCGAUAAGUAAUGUGAAUUGCAGAAUUCAGUGAAUCAUCGAAUCUUUGAACGCACAUUGCGCCUGCCAGUAUUCUGGCAGGCAUGCCUGUCCGAGCGUCAUUUCAACCCUCAAGCCCCCGGGCUUGGUGUUGGGGACCGGCCACCGCCGCAACUCGCGGCAGGCCGCCCCCGAAAUACAGUGGCGGUCACGCUGCGGCAUCUCCUGCGUAGUAACACACCUCGCAUCAGAUACGCUACGAGACCACGCCGUAAAACAACCCACUUCUGAAAUGUUGACCUCGGAUCAGGUAGGGAUACCCGCUGAACUUAAGCAUAUCAAUAAGCGGAGGAAAAGAAACCAACAGGGAUUGCCCCAGUAACGGCGAGUGAAGCGGCAACAGCUCAAAUUUGAAAUCUGGCCCUCGGGUCCGAGUUGUAAUUUGAAGAGGAUGCUUUUGGUGCGGUGCCUUCCGAGUUCCCUGGAACGGGACGCCAUAGAGGGUGAGAGCCCCGUCUGGUUGGAUGCCAAACCUCUGUAAAGCUCCUUCGACGAGUCGAGUAGUUUGGGAAUGCUGCUCAAAA
Molecule: ribosomal RNA, 773 nt
Filed under: Calcarisporium arbuscula
Lineage: Eukaryota; Fungi; Ascomycota; Sordariomycetes; Hypocreales; Calcarisporiaceae
Description: eukaryotic LSU rRNA
Rfam family: Eukaryotic large subunit ribosomal RNA (bases 486-773)
Source: RNAcentral